AAUAUUUGACAAUGGGCGCAAGCCUGAUCCAGCCAUGCCGCGUGAGUGAAGAAGGACNNNGGGUUNUCAAGCUCUUUCACCCGNGACNUUGAUGACGGUAGCGGGAGAAGAAGACCCGGCUAACUGCGUGCCUGCAGCCGCGGUAAUACGGAGGGGGCUAGCGUUGUUCGGAUUUACUGGGCGUAAAGGGCGCGUAGGCGGAUGUUCGCGUCAGAGGUGAAAGCCCCGGGCUCAACCUGGGAACUGCCUUUGAAACGGGACAUCUUGAGUUCGGGAGAGGGUAGCGGAAUUCCCAGUGUAGAGGUGAAAUUCGUAGAUAUUGGGAAGAACACCGGUGGCGAAGGCGGCUACCUGGCCCGAUACUGACGCUGAGGCGCGAAAGCGUGGGGAGCAAAC
Molecule: ribosomal RNA, 396 nt
Filed under: uncultured bacterium
Lineage: Bacteria
Description: partial 16S ribosomal RNA
Rfam family: Bacterial small subunit ribosomal RNA
Source: RNAcentral